Molecule: ribosomal RNA, 460 nt
Filed under: uncultured bacterium
Lineage: Bacteria
Description: partial 16S ribosomal RNA
Rfam family: Bacterial small subunit ribosomal RNA
Source: RNAcentral
CCUACGGGAGGCAGCAGUGAGGAAUAUUGGUCAAUGGGCGUAAGCCUGAACCAGCCAAGUCGCGUGAGGGAUGAAGGUUCUAUGGAUCGUAAACCUCUUUUAUAAGGGAAUAAAGUGUGGGACGUGUCCUGUUUUGUAUGUACCUUAUGAAUAAGGAUCGGCUAACUCCGUGCCAGCAGCCGCGGUAAUACGGAGGAUCCGAGCGUUAUCCGGAUUUAUUGGGUUUAAAGGGUGCGUAGGCGGCCUUUUAAGUCAGCGGUGAAAGUCUGUGGCUCAACCAUAGAAUUGCCGUUGAAACUGGGAGGCUUGAGUAUGUUUGAGGAAGGUGGAAUGCGUGGGGUAGCGGUGAAAUGCUUAGAUAUCACGCAGAACCCCGAUUGCGAAGGCAGCCUGCCAAGCCAUGACUGACGCUGAUGCACGAAAGCGUGGGGAUCAAACAGGAUUAGAUACCCGAGUAGUC